GCCUAGGUGGUUAAGUAGUAAAGACGUUAGCCUAUAAACUAUAUAUAACUAUCGUUGCCCGUAACGAUAGUUAUAUAAAGAGAACCAAAGUCCCGAGUUCAAUUCCCGGCCUAGGUA
Coniochaeta pulveracea is the source of this 117-nucleotide non-coding RNA. NCBI's taxonomy places the organism in Eukaryota, Fungi, Ascomycota, Sordariomycetes, Coniochaetales, Coniochaetaceae. The record is from the annotation of a GenBank genome assembly.